CGGGUGCGUAACACGUAAAGAACCUGCCCUGUAGCGGGGGAUAGCCCUGGGAAACUGGGGGUAAUACCGCAUAAGUCCUUAUUUUCGCAUGAGGAAAAGGGGAAAGGGAAUAGAUGAUAAUCUAUUUUCACUACAGGAGGGCUUUGCGGCCUAUCAGGUAGUUGGAAGGGUAACGGCCUACCAAGCCUAAGACGGGUAGCUGGUCUGAGAGGAUGGUCAGCCACACUGGGACUGAGAUACGGCCCAG
Molecule: ribosomal RNA, 247 nt
Filed under: uncultured bacterium
Lineage: Bacteria
Description: partial 16S ribosomal RNA
Rfam family: Bacterial small subunit ribosomal RNA
Source: RNAcentral